Molecule: ribosomal RNA, 1410 nt
Filed under: uncultured Chloroflexota bacterium
Lineage: Bacteria; Bacillati; Chloroflexota
Description: uncultured Chloroflexi bacterium 16S ribosomal RNA
Rfam family: Bacterial small subunit ribosomal RNA
Source: RNAcentral
GAUGAACGCUGGCGGUGUGCCUUAAGCAUGCAAGUCGAACGGGACUGUAGCAAUACAGUCUAGUGGCAGACGGGUGAGUACAAGGUAGGAAUCUACCUCUUAGUGGGGAAUAAUAGUCCGAAAGGACUACUAAUACCGCAUAACUCCGAAAGGAAAAAGAGCUUAACUGCUCGCUGAGAGAUGAGCCUGCCCGCUAUCAGCUUGUUGGUAGGGUAAAAGCCUACCAAGGCGAUGACGGCUAGGGGGCGUGAGAGCGUGGCCCCCCACAAGGUUACUGAGAUACGGAACCUACACCUACGGGUGGCAGCAACUGGGAAUUUUGCGCAAUGGACGAAAGUCUGACGCAGCGACACCGCGUGUGGGAUGACGGCCUUCGGGUUGUAAACCACUGUGGCAGGGGAGCAAUUUUGAGAGUACCCUGCUAGAAAGCACCUGCUAACUACGUGCCAGAAGCCUCGGUAAUACGUAGGGUGCAAGCGUUAUCCGGAAUUAUUGGGCGUAAAGAGUAUCGUAGGCGGUUGAUUAAGUGGUGGGUUAAAGCCUGGAGCUCAACUCCAGAGAUGCCUAUCAAACUAGUCAACUAGAGGAGAUUCGGGGGUACUGGAAUUCUCGGUGGAGGAGUGAAAUCCGUUGAUAUCGAGAAGAACACCAAAGGCGAAGGCAGGUACCUAGGAUUUUCCAGACGCUGAAGAACGAAAGCUAGGGGAGCGAAAGGGAUUAGAGACCCCUGUAGUCCUAGCCGUAAACAUUGGACACUAGCUGGCCCGGAGUUAUUUUUUCUGGCUGGCGCAAGCCAACGCGUUAAGUGUCCCGCCUGGGGAGUACGGCCGCAAGGCUAAAACUCAAAGGAAUUGACGGGGAAACGCACAACCAGCGUGCCAUGUGGUUUAAUUGGAUACGAAACCUUGAACCUUACCUAGGUUUGACAUGCAUCUGCAAAUCCCUGGAAACAGGGACUUCUUCGAGAGUGAUGCACAGCUGCUGCAUGGUUGUCGUCAGUUCGUGUCGUGAGGCGUCCGCUUAAGUGCGGUAACGAACGCAACCACUGCCGUGUGUUGAAUAUUCACACGGGACUGCCGUACUUGCAGUACGGAGGAAGGAGGGGACGACGUCAAAUCAGCAUGGCGCUUACACCUAGGGCUACACACAUGGCGUAAUGGACGGGACAACGGGUCGCGACGGGGUAACCCUGAGCUAAUCCUAAUAAACUCGUCCUCAGUUCGGAUUGUGGGCUGCAAUUCGCCCACAUGAAGGGGAGUUGGUAGUAAUCGCAGGUCAGCUAUACUGCGGUGAAUACGUUCUCGUUUCUUGUACACACCGCCCGUCAAGUCAACAAAGUCAGCAGUACCCAAAGUCGGUACCCGAAACCGCAAGGAUCGGCCCGCCUAAGGUAAGGUUGGCGAUGGGGGU